ACUCCUACGGGAGGCAGCAGUGAGGAAUAUUGGACAAUGGGUGAGAGCCUGAUCCAGCCAUCCCGCGUGAAGGAAUAAGGUCCUAUGGAUUGUAAACUUCUUUUGUACAGGGAUAAACCUAGAUACGUGUAUCUAGCUGAAGGUACUGUACGAAUAAGCACCGGCUAACUCCGUGCCAGCAGCCGCGGUAAU
Molecule: ribosomal RNA, 192 nt
Filed under: uncultured bacterium
Lineage: Bacteria
Description: partial 16S ribosomal RNA
Rfam family: Bacterial small subunit ribosomal RNA
Source: RNAcentral